Molecule: non-coding RNA, 233 nt
Filed under: Clostridium sp.
Lineage: Bacteria; Bacillati; Bacillota; Clostridia; Eubacteriales; Clostridiaceae
Description: T-box sequence
Rfam family: T-box leader
About the family: Uncharged tRNA acts as the effector for transcription antitermination of genes in the T-box leader family. T-boxes are found upstream of many aminoacyl-tRNA synthetase genes and some amino acid biosynthetic genes usually in Gram-positive bacteria. The anticodon of a specific tRNA base pairs to a specifier sequence within the T-box motif, and the NCCA acceptor tail of the tRNA base pairs to a conserved bulge in the T-box antiterminator hairpin.
Source: RNAcentral
GAUACGGCGAUGAACGAGAUAAGUAGCACAGGAAAGCCUUUCAGAGAGUCUGCGGUUGGUGAAAGCAGGCAGGGCGGAUGUGCGAAAUACCCUUGUGAGCUUGGGUUCCGAACGCUUGAGUAGGAUUCCGCGGGUGCGCCCGUUACUGCGCUGGAGUAUGAUGGUACUCCGUAAGGCGUCCUGCGUGAGCAAGGCGUAAACUGAGGUGGUAACACGACACGAUCGUCCUCUGC